Long non-coding RNA from Thalassophryne amazonica, 99 nucleotides. RefSeq lists it as uncharacterized. NCBI's taxonomy places the organism in Eukaryota, Metazoa, Chordata, Actinopteri, Batrachoidiformes, Batrachoididae. The record is from RefSeq and is a predicted model, not a curated record. The transcript has 3 exons.
UUUUGGGUGCUAAUAUUCAGGGGUGGAUUGGCCAUUGAGAGUACCAGGACUUUUCCUGGUGGGCCGAUCAAUAAAUGGGCUGAUGUCUGCCUGUUUUUU